GCUUGUCUCAAAGAUUAAGCCAUGCAUGUCUAAGUACAAGCCGCUAGUUCGGCGAAACCGCGAAUGGCUCAAUAAAUCAGUUAUGGUUCCUUAGAUCCACUCCAUCCUACUUGGAUAACUGUGGUAAUUCUAGAGCUAAUACAUGCGUAAGAUCCUGACUAACGAAGGGACGUAUUUAUUAGAUACAACCGACCUCCUUCUGGAGCCUUUUGUCGACUCAUAGUAACUUCUCGAAUCGGAGGCUUGCCUCCGAUAGUUCAUUCAAAUUUCUGCCCUAUCAGCUUUCGACGGUAGUGUAGUGGACUACCGUGGCGUUAACGGGUAACGGAGAAUUAGGGUUCGAUUCCGGAGAGGGAGCCUGAGAAACGGCUACCACAUCCAAGGAAGGCAGCAGG
This 395-nucleotide ribosomal RNA is filed under the name uncultured fungus. Its description in RNAcentral is "partial small subunit ribosomal RNA". It matches the Rfam family "Eukaryotic small subunit ribosomal RNA", at positions 30 to 432 of the family's 1831-position model. Lineage: Eukaryota; Fungi. The record is from RNAcentral.